GACGAACGCUGGCGGCGUGCUUAACACAUGCAAGUCGAACGGAAAGGCCCUGCUUUUGUGGGGUGCUCGAGUGGCGAACGGGUGAGUAACACGUGAGUAACCUGCCCUUGACUUUGGGAUAACUUCAGGAAACUGGGGCUAAUACCGGAUAGGAGCUCCUGCUGCAUGGUGGGGGUUGGAAAGUUUCGGCGGUUGGGGAUGGACUCGCGGCUUAUCAGCUUGUUGGUGGGGUAGUGGCUUACCAAGGCUUUGACGGGUAGCCGGCCUGAGAGGGUGACCGGCCACAUUGGGACUGAGAUACGGCCCAGACUCCUACGGGAGGCAGCAGUGGGGAAUAUUGCACAAUGGGCGGAAGCCUGAUGCAGCAACGCCGCGUGCGGGAUGACGGCCUUCGGGUUGUAAACCGCUUUCGCCUGUGACGAAGCGUGAGUGACGGUAAUGGGUAAAGAAGCACCGGCUAACUACGUGCCAGCAGCCACGGUGAUACGUAGGGUGCGAGCGUUGUCCGGAUUUAUUGGGCGUAAAGGGCUCGUAGGUGGUUGAUCGCGUCGGAAGUGUAAUCUUGGGGCUUAACCCUGAGCGUGCUUUCGAUACGGGUUGACUUGAGGAAGGUAGGGGAGAAUGGAAUUCCUGGUGGAGCGGUGGAAUGCGCAGAUAUCAGGAGGAACACCAGUGGCGAAAGCGGUUCUCUGGGCCUUUCCUGGCGCUGAGGAGCGAAAGCGUGGGGAGCGAACAGGCUUAGAUACCCUGGUAGUCCACGCUGUAAACGGUGGGUACUAGGUGUGGGGUCCAUUCCACGGGUUCCGUGCCGUAGCUAACGCUUUAAGUACCCCGCCUGGGGAGUACGGCCGCAAGGCUAAAACUCAAAGGAAUUGACGGGGCCCCGCACAAGCGGCGGAGCAUGCGGAUUAAUUCGAUGCAACGCGUAGAACCUUACCUGGGUUUGACAUGGAUCGGGAGUGCUCAGAGAUGGGUGUGCCUCUUUUGGGGUCGGUUCACAGGUGGUGCAUGGCUGUCGUCAGCUCGUGUCGUGAGAUGUUGGGUUAAGUCCCGCAACGAGCGCAACCCUUGUUCACUGUUGCCAGCACGUUAUGGUGGGGACUCAGUGGAGACCGCCGGGGUCAACUCGGAGGAAGGUGGGGAUGACGUCAAGUCAUCAUGCCCCUUAUGUCCAGGGCUUCACGCAUGCUACAAUGGCUGGUACAGAGAGUGGCGAGCCUGUGAGGGUGAGCGAAUCUCGGAAAGCCGGUCUCAGUUCGGAUUGGGGUCUGCAACUCGACCUCAUGAAGUCGGAGUCGCUAGUAAUCGCAGAUCAGCAACGCUGCGGUGAAUACGUUCCCGGG
Molecule: ribosomal RNA, 1343 nt
Filed under: uncultured bacterium
Lineage: Bacteria
Description: 16S ribosomal RNA
Rfam family: Bacterial small subunit ribosomal RNA
Source: RNAcentral